AUGAACGCUGGCGGCGUGCUUAACACCUGCAAGUCGAACGAUGAAGCCCAGCUUGCUGGGUGGAUUAGUGGCGAACGGGUGAGUAACACGUGAGUAACCUGCCCUUGACUCUGGGAUAAGCCUGGGAAACUGGGUCUAAUACUGGAUAUGACUUCUCAUCGCAUGGUGGGGAGUGGAAAGAUUUAUUGGUCUUGGAUGGACUCGCGGCCUAUCAGCUUGUUGGUGAGGUAAUGGCUCACCAAGGCGACGACGGGUAGCCGGCCUGAGAGGGUGACCGGCCACACUGGGACUGAGACACGGCCCAGACUCCUACGGGAGGCAGCAGUGGGGAAUAUUGCACAAUGGGCGCAAGCCUGAUGCAGCGACGCCGCGUGAGGGAUGACGGCCUUCGGGUUGUAAACCUCUUUCAGUAGGGAAGAAGCGAGAGUGACGGUACCUGCAGAAGAAGCGCCGGCUAACUACGUG
RNAcentral lists this ribosomal RNA (465 nucleotides) under uncultured bacterium. RNAcentral's name for it is "partial 16S ribosomal RNA". It matches the Rfam family "Bacterial small subunit ribosomal RNA", at positions 29 to 507 of the family's 1533-position model. The record is from RNAcentral.